RNAcentral lists this ribosomal RNA (229 nucleotides) under uncultured bacterium. RNAcentral's name for it is "partial 16S ribosomal RNA". It matches the Rfam family "Bacterial small subunit ribosomal RNA", at positions 568 to 796 of the family's 1533-position model. The record is from RNAcentral.
UCCGUAGGCGGGUAAUUAAGUCAGAGGUGAAAUCCCACAGCUUAACUGUGGAACUGCCUUAGAUACUGGUUAUCUUGAGUUUUAGUGAAGUAGAUAGAAUGUGUAGUGUAGCGGUGAAAUGCAUAGAUAUUACACAGAAUACCGAUUGCGAAGGCAGUCUACUAACUAACAACUGACGCUAAUGGACGAAAGCGUGGGGAGCGAACAGGAUUAGCUACCCUGGUAGUCC